CAUGAACUGACGGAGCCACAAAAUCCAGCUAGGUUGUGGGGAAUUACCGAGACUUUGUACCACUUCAAUAUCGUACCAGGAGACUUCGCACCAUUUGGCUGGGCCACUGGAGAGAUCGUACCAGAUGCUAUGGACUGUGACUGGUGCCAGAGAUGCAGCACAGAACUUGUGAAACAGGGAUCUCCCAGACCGCAAAGUCACAUUUUGUAUCCUUUUGGACUUGAGAUCACCCAUACGUGUUAUGCAUUUAUGUAUUUUAUGUAUUUCUUUCUUUCUGAGUCCAAUUUUUCUCUUGAAGAAAUAACAUGUGUGUUAGUAUUCUAAACAACAUCGAUGGCAUCUACUAUAUAAAUAAAUAUACAUACUUUAUAUAUUAUUAAUUCAUGAUAUAAUAAUAACUUAAGUAUCAGAGUAAUAAAAAUAAAAGUAGGCCGAAAAGGACAGGCCGAAAAGCUGGGCUGAGUUGACCCGGAUUCUCAACAUGCAUAUGAUUGUGGUACAAUGUCUCCAAAAAUGGUACGAUAUUGAAGUGGUACCAAGUCUCAAACAUCUGUUGUGGGAAGGGAAACAAAGAAAAUUUUAAGUCAGACUUGCAAAUCCAUGAAAUAUGAAACAUGCUAAGUGCUAUUUUUAUGGAUUCUUAUUUAUAGCCACUUAAAACCCUUUCACUUGUAUGCCUUAAGCUGUUUAUUAAAAGUUCAUAAAUUGGAAUGUAUAAAUUUAUGUAAACUAACUACAUACAUGAUACUUCAUACAUGUUUACCUAGUAGUGUAGGUUUUGUACAAUUUCAAAUAUGAAUGGCUAAUUCAUUGGACAAUUAAACCGUUAAAACCUUUAAAAGUAAACUUAUCAAACAAAACAACAAUAACUACUUUACUUUUACUUCAGUGUCUCCAAAUUAUUCCAAAAAAAUAGUGUGCAAUGUUGCGGGUCUAAAAUUGUCAAUAAACGUAUUCAACGAUUUCAAAGGCAACAGUGC
Long non-coding RNA from Mya arenaria, 980 nucleotides. RefSeq lists it as uncharacterized. Lineage: Eukaryota; Metazoa; Mollusca; Bivalvia; Myida; Myidae. The record is from RefSeq and is a predicted model, not a curated record. The transcript is spliced from 3 exons.